Long non-coding RNA from Sceloporus undulatus (fence lizard), 291 nucleotides. RefSeq lists it as uncharacterized. The record is from RefSeq and is a predicted model, not a curated record. NCBI's taxonomy places the organism in Eukaryota, Metazoa, Chordata, Lepidosauria, Squamata, Phrynosomatidae. The transcript has 3 exons.
CCUGGAAUGGCGCAAAUUGGCGGCUGGGCGGAGGCGCCGAGGAAGGCAGCGAAAAAGCCCAAAGAUAGAGCCGUAGAUUCGAAGCAAUUAGAACGGAGACCGCAAACAUGGCCCUGACCUGCCGGCCCCAAGAUGCCAGAAACAGACUUUUCCUGGUAUAUAAGAACCGCCUUGUUGGAUUUGUCCAAAGGUCCAUCAGGCCAGAGUUUUAUCUCAAUGAACCUGGGCAUCAUCGCCUGACCACUCCACCUCCAUCUCCAGCCACUCGCUGGUCCAAAGGAUCCGACGACG